AUUGAACGCUGGCGGCAGGCCUAACACAUGCAAGUCGAGCGGAUGAAGGGAGCUUGCUCCUGGAUUCAGCGGCGGACGGGUGAGUAAUGCCUAGGAAUCUGCCUGGUAGUGGGGGAUAACGUCCGGAAACGGGCGCUAAUACCGCAUACGUCCUGAGGGAGAAAGUGGGGGAUCUUCGGACCUCACGCUAUCAGAUGAGCCUAGGUCGGAUUAGCUAGUUGGUGGGGUAAAGGCCUACCAAGGCGACGAUCCGUAACUGGUCUGAGAGGAUGAUCAGUCACACUGGAACUGAGACACGGUCCAGACACCUACGGGAGGCCGCAGUGGGGAAUAUUGGACGAUGGGCGAAAGCCUGAUCCAGCCAUGCCGCGUGUGUGAAGAAGGUCUUCGGAUUGUAAAGCACUUUAAGUUGGGAGGAAGGGCAGUAAGUUAAUACCUUGCUGUUUUGACGUUACCAACAGAAUAAGCACCGGCUAACUUCGUG
Molecule: ribosomal RNA, 484 nt
Filed under: uncultured bacterium
Lineage: Bacteria
Description: partial 16S ribosomal RNA
Rfam family: Bacterial small subunit ribosomal RNA
Source: RNAcentral